Small nucleolar RNA from Acomys russatus (golden spiny mouse), 135 nucleotides. RefSeq annotates it as small nucleolar RNA SNORA17. The transcript has a single exon. Lineage: Eukaryota; Metazoa; Chordata; Mammalia; Rodentia; Muridae. The record is from RefSeq and is a predicted model, not a curated record.
ACUGGCAGAAGCAUUGCAUAUGGCUGCUGUGUUGCAUGUGUGCCAGUAGGUGGCAAAGAGGAGAGAGGCAAUUUUUUUUUUAAGUGUUCUUAUUAAGUCUUUGAGAAUUUCAUACAAUGUUUUAAUCCUAUCCAU